Molecule: ribosomal RNA, 849 nt
Filed under: Lactobacillus sp.
Lineage: Bacteria; Bacillati; Bacillota; Bacilli; Lactobacillales; Lactobacillaceae
Description: bacterial SSU rRNA
Rfam family: Bacterial small subunit ribosomal RNA
Source: RNAcentral
GGUGCUUGCAUCAUGAUUUACAUUUGAGUGAGUGGCGAACUGGUGAGUAACACGUGGGAAACCUGCCCAGAAGCGGGGGAUAACACCUGGAAACAGAUGCUAAUACCGCAUAACAACUUGGACCGCAUGGUCCGAGCUUGAAAGAUGGCUUCGGCUAUCACUUUUGGAUGGUCCCGCGGCGUAUUAGCUAGAUGGUGGGGUAACGGCUCACCAUGGCAAUGAUACGUAGCCGACCUGAGAGGGUAAUCGGCCACAUUGGGACUGAGACACGGCCCAAACUCCUACGGGAGGCAGCAGUAGGGAAUCUUCCACAAUGGACGAAAGUCUGAUGGAGCAACGCCGCGUGAGUGAAGAAGGGUUUCGGCUCGUAAAACUCUGUUGUUAAAGAAGAACAUAUCUAAGAGUAACUGUUCAGGUAUUGACGGUAUUUAACCAGAAAGCCACGGCUAACUACGUGCCAGCAGCCGCGGUAAUACGUAGGUGGCAAGCGUUGUCCGGAUUUAUUGGGCGUAAAGCGAGCGCAGGCGGUUUUUUAAGUCUGAUGUGAAAGCCUUCGGCUCAACCGAAGAAGUGCAUCGGAAACUGGGAAACUUGAGUGCAGAAGAGGACAGUGGAACUCCAUGUGUAGCGGUGAAAUGCGUAGAUAUAUGGAAGAACACCAGUGGCGAAGGCGGCUGUCUGGUCUGUAACUGACGCUGAGGCUCGAAAGUAUGGGUAGCAAACAGGAUUAGAUACCCUGGUAGUCCAUACCGUAAACGAUGAAUGCUAAGUGUUGGAGGGUUUCCGCCCUUCAGUGCUGCAGCUAACGCAUUAAGCAUUCCGCCUGGGGAGUACGGCCGCAAGGCUGAA